Molecule: RNA transcript, 4262 nt
Organism: Mastomys coucha (southern multimammate mouse)
Lineage: Eukaryota; Metazoa; Chordata; Mammalia; Rodentia; Muridae
Gene name: anaphase-promoting complex subunit 10 pseudogene
Exons: 1
Source: RefSeq, a predicted model, not a curated record
AAAAAAAAGAAAGAAAGAAAGAAAGAAAGAAAACCCUGCAACAGAAAGCCAAGUCCAGCCAAAUAGGAAAGGAAAGGGACAGAUUCAGGGAAGAAAAUACUGAAAAGAUGCAGGGGUAGAGGAACCUCAUACACAGCUUUCUUUAAGACAGCUUAAAUAAGGAGGGGUGGGUGUGUGCUGCUUCUUAGAUUCAGUCCCAGGCUUGUUACCUUUGGUGCAGAGUCAUUGCUUGGCUGUUUUGUGCCCUGACCCCAUUGCUUGUUGCUGUACCUUUUUCUCUUCGCUCAAGCCAGGCACUUUUUUUGUCUAAUAGUCUGUGCUCUGGGCUGUUUAUCAUUCAUCGCUAAAUGUUUGUGUUAUUUUUAAAGUUGACAUACUUUGGAUGUUUGGAUGUACAUGUGCCACAGGGAACAUGUGGCAGAGAAUGCUGCCUGUUGAGGCAGAGUCUCUUGUUUCUGCCUUGCUGUGCUUUCCUAGGCCAGUGAGCUUCUGAGUUCCUAGGACAGUUUUCCAAAGAAGCGCUGGGUUGUAUGUCUCUGCAUCUGGUCCUCUGUAUAGACCUGGCUUUCAAGGCAACUGUUUUUAAUCUGCCGAACCAUCUCUCUGGCCAUUAUUUUAUUUUAUUCUUGAGAUAGGGUCAUAAUAUGUGUCUUGGUCUGCCCUGGAAUUCUCAUGUAGCCUUGUCUGGCCUUGAACUCAAGAUCUUGCCUUCACUUUCUAAAUGCUAGGUGCUUCGGUAUAUGCCAUCAUGCCUAAUUAUAAAUGUUUGUCUUUUCAUUCACCAUCUCUACCCAUUCUUAACGAUACAUAUGUUUGUACCCCAGAAAGCUAGAUUUUAAUUUUACUCCAGAAAAGUGUCUUCUGAGAAGGUGGGUUGAUGUGUGAAUGUCCCUCUUUUUACUUUUGUUGCUACAAGACCUUGACAAAAAGUAACUUAGGGCUUUCAGUCAAUAUUCCAACAGAAAUUUGUAAGGGUCUUCAGUAUAAAAAUAGAACCAUUCUAAUAAUACAAAUGGAUUUUGUACAUUCAAAUUUAUAACAUUUACUUAAUUUAGUCCUUGAACAUAUGGUUGUUAUAGUCUUUCAUUUUUAAAAAGUUUUGGUUAUGGAUGAACAUGGCUUUAUUUAUUUAUUGGUAAUAUAAUUUUUUUCCCUUACCUUGUUUUGCUUGCAUGGUCCCAGAAAUGCUAGUACUUUCAGAUAGUUUGAAAGUUUAAUUAGUAACUUUGAUGUUUUCUUUAAAAUGGGAACUACUUUGAGCAUAAUGUAUAAAACACAACGUGAACUCCCAUCCCUGACAGCCAGCCAAACCUGUCAGUUCCUAAUACCGCGACACAUUUGAUCUUUUUAAAGAAGAGAACUUUCAAGAUACCGUUGGAUAUAUUCUUAGCAGCUGUCUUUUUCACUCUUCUUCAUUCAGAGUUAAAUACUUUCAAAAAGAAAAUUCUGUUUGGUAAAUGUGUAUAUAAUAUAGAAGUACACUCUAUACAUUUUUGUGUCUUUUCAGACUUUAUGAGAGUAUAUUUUGUCUGCAUCUUUUGUCAUUGGCCUUUUUUACAUGUUAUUCAUGUUGGGUGUGUUGGCUAUAUGAAACUCUUCUGUAUGAUUACACCACACUUUUAUGUAGUCUCCACAUGCAUGCUUGUAGUUUGAAAGUAAGGCCGGAGGGUGAAAUGAAGGUUUUCUACAAGUGAACAGGUUAUAGUAGUAGUGUUUGAUUUAUCACACAUUACUUUUUUGUUUAAAUAAAGACCUUAAGACGGACAUGUGGUGCAUGUCUAUGAUACCUGUCCAUGGGAGGCAGAGGCUGGAAGAUCGCUUUAAUGUGAGGGCAGCAUGGUCUGUAUAGGAAGUAUGACACCAACUAAAGAUACCUAGUGAGCUCUGUCUUUGAAACAAACAAGGAAGACCUUUAGAGGCAUCCUUUUUAUCAUUAAGAAUAGACAUGGCAGAUGUGUGUAGAAUGUAGAAUGUCACACCCUGGCUGAUGGACAACUGAUAGCUCCAGCCAUUUGUCAUCUACACAUCAAAAUAAAACUUAAGGGUUUAUUUCCUCUUUUCUUUGUUUCCUAUUAAUCUUCCCUCCAUGGUUGCCUUCUUUCUUUGCCUUUCUCUUUUUCUGUGGAUCUGACAGUCUCUCAUGUGCCAGAAAACCUCUCUCCCACUCUGCUACAUCCCUGUCCUCUUUCCUCGGUUGCCUGCUGUCCCUAGCUCUGACACCUGCUUAAAGAGAUGGAGUCUCUCUCUUCCAGAAUUCCUGAGCUCAAGGGAUCUUCCUGUCUCACCCUCCCAGGUAAGCUGGAGGCAAGAGCCACUAAUGAUUUUUUAUUUUUUAUUUCCAGGUGUAACCUGGUUUUGUAUAGUCAGGCUGCCUCAUAGCCCUGGUCUUGAACUUGGAGCACACCUGUAUCAGCUUCUCCAGUGCUAGGAGUACAGUCUCCACCAUGCCUGUUCAGCUGCAGUCUUUUACAAAGUGUCAUUUCUACAUUUCUAAUCAUGUGCAUUUGUGUGGCCUGUGUGUGGAUAUGUGCACCUGAGGAUGUGCUCUCAGAGGCAAGAAGAUGGCAUUGGAUCAGCCUUGGAUUGAACUGUCAUUACUGCAGCUGCAAGGCACUUGUCCCGGAUGCUGGGAACCGAACUCUAGUCCUCUGUUAAGAGUAGUAUACAUUCUUUUUCUUGUUUGUUUGUUUGUAUCGUUUUUGAGAUAGGGUCUUGCUGUCCUGGAAUUCACUAUGUGGACUAGGGUGGCCUCGAACUCACUUUGAGAUUUGCCUGCUGCUCCUUCCUGAGUUCUGGGAUUAAAGGCAUGUGCGACUGUGCCCAGCCUAGUAUUACAUAUACCCUUAACCUCUGAGCAUCUCUCCAGCCCUGAGUAACAAAGACUUUGAAUGUAAUUUAGCCAGCAAUUUCUUUCCUAAAAUAAUCACAGUAUUAGUCAACCCUCUUGCUAAAACAAGUACUGCUCUAGAAACCAGUGACAUUUGGUAUUGCCUAUACAUUGUUUCCCCUAGGCCUUUACUUUGUUAGUUUAAAUUUCUUUAGCUUUAUAUUUUAGAUUUAUCUUACAUUUUGCCUGUAUGCAUGUUUGUGUACCAUUGUAUGCCUGGUGCCUGUGAAGGUCAGAAGAGAGCAUUGGAUCCCCUGAAACUGGAGUUAUGGAUGGUUGUGAACCAUGGUGUGGUGCUGGGAGCUGAACUUGGGUCCUCUGAAAGAAUAACACAUGCUCUUAAACCCUGAGCCAUCGCUCCAUCCCCCACAUUUUGUGUCUGGAGACAGGAUCUUGUGUAUAACCCAGGCUCUCCUGGAACUUGAGAAUUACAAUCUGUCUCUCUUUUGCUCCUUCCCAAGGGCUGGCAUUACAAGUGUGCACUACUGAAUUAACGGAGGGAACCUGGAACCGCUGAGCCGCAUUUUGGAGUGGCCAGGGCCCUGAGACCAGGAAUUGUGGCAAACCAGAAUAAUUUAAAAAUGACCACACCGAAUGACCUCCUGGUGCCGAUCCUAAACAGUUGGAGAGGACAGCGACAGUCAGGGGGAUUGGGUCUCAGGCUGUCUGGUCACUCUCUUCAUGCAAACCAGGGUUUGGAGUGGAUCAGUUACGAGAUGACAAUCUAGGAACUUACUGGCAAUCUGAUGGCUCUCAGCCUCAUUUAGUGAAUAUCCAAUUCAGAAGAAAAACAACAGUGAAGACAUUAUGUAUUUAUGCAGAUUAUAAAUCUGAUGAAAGCUACACUCCAAGCAAAAUCUCAGUCAGAGUAGGAAAUAAUUUUCACAACCUUCAAGAAAUCCGGCAACUUGAGUUGAUGGAACCAAGUGGCUGGAUUCUCGUUCCUUUGACUGACAAUCAUAAGACGCCAACUCGCACAUUCAUGAUACAGAUUGCUGUUCUAGCCAAUCACCAGAAUGGAAGAGAUACCCACAUGAGACAAAUUAAAAUAUAUACACCAGUGGAAGAGAGCUCCAUUGGGAGAUUCCCUAGAUGCACGACCAUUGAUUUUAUGAUGUAUCGUUCAAUACGGUGACUUUAAAAUGGACAAAAAUAAACAGGCAUUUUUUUAUCCUAUCAUUGCAUAGUAUAUUAAGUAUCUUUGGUGAAAAAGCCUGUUACUUUGCAAUUUUACAUACACUUAAAAAUAAUUUAGAUAAAUAACUUUUAGGUCAUGUCUGUUUUUUAUAUAAUAAAGCUCAUAUAUUGUAUGUUUCUAAAAAGUGAAUUUGAAGUCAAUCAAAUUACAUUUUUCUUUAUAUUAAAAGAAAACUAG